This 163-nucleotide ribosomal RNA is filed under the name Pancratium canariense. Its description in RNAcentral is "5.8S ribosomal RNA". It matches the Rfam family "5.8S ribosomal RNA". From Rfam's summary of the family: 5.8S ribosomal RNA (5.8S rRNA) is a component of the large subunit of the eukaryotic ribosome. It is transcribed by RNA polymerase I as part of the 45S precursor that also contains 18S and 28S rRNA. Lineage: Eukaryota; Viridiplantae; Streptophyta; Magnoliopsida; Asparagales; Amaryllidaceae. The record is from RNAcentral.
UGCAUGACUCUCGGCAACGGAUAUCUCGGCUCUCGCAUCGAUGAAGAGCGUAGCGAAAUCCCAUACUUGGUGUGAAUUGCAGAAUCCCGUGAACCAUCCAUUCUUUGAACGCAAGUUGCGCCCGAGGCUAUCUGGCCAAGGGCAAGCCUGCCUGGGGGUCACG